ACUCAAAUGAAUUGACGGGGGCCCGCACAAGCAGCGGAGCGUGUGGUUUAAUUCGAUGCAACGCGAAGAACCUCACCUAGGCUUGACAUGGCUGAAGUAGAACCCUGAAAGGGGAACGACCCGUAAAGUCGGGAGCAGUCACAGGUGCUGCAUGGCUGUCGUCAGCUCGUGCCGUGAGGUGUUGGGUUAAGUCCCGCAACGAGCGCAACCCUCGGCGUUAGUUACCAUGUCUAACGCGACCGCCGGUUUCAAACCGGAGGAAGGUGGGGAUGACGUCAAGUCAGCACGGCCCUUACGCCUAGGGCUACACACACGCUACAAUGGCCGGUACAACGGGACGCCAAAGGGUGACCUGGAGCAAAUCCCAUCAAAACCGGUCUCAGUUGGGAUUGGAGGCUGCAACUCGCCUCCAUGAACGCGGAGUUGCUAGUAACCGCAGGUCAGCACACUGCGGUGAAUACGUUCCCGGGCCUUGUACACACCGCCCGU
RNAcentral lists this ribosomal RNA (489 nucleotides) under uncultured bacterium. RNAcentral's name for it is "partial 16S ribosomal RNA". It matches the Rfam family "Bacterial small subunit ribosomal RNA", at positions 899 to 1397 of the family's 1533-position model. The record is from RNAcentral.